This 72-nucleotide transfer RNA is filed under the name Candidatus Sungbacteria bacterium RIFCSPHIGHO2_02_FULL_52_23. RNAcentral describes it as "tRNA-Met". It matches the Rfam family "tRNA". Rfam says of the family: Transfer RNA (tRNA) molecules are approximately 80 nucleotides in length. The record is from RNAcentral. Lineage: Bacteria; Candidatus Sungiibacteriota.
GCCGGGGUAGCUCAGUGGAAGAGCGCAACACUCAUAACGUUGAGGUCGUGGGAUCGUUCCCCACCCCCGGCA